AACGCACAUUGCGCCCUUUGGUAUUCCUUAGGGCAUGCCUGUUCGAGCGUCAUAACAACCCUCAAGCGCAAGCUUGGUGUUGGGCGUUUGUCCCCGCCCCCGGCAGGGACUCGCCCCGAAUCCAUUGGCAGCCCCCCCACCGGGCCAUACGAGCGCAGCAGAAUUUGCGCCUCGGGCACGGUGAGCGGGCGAUCCACAGAGCCACCCCCAUCACUUUGACCUCGGAUCAGGUAGGGAUACCCGCUGAACUUAA
RNAcentral lists this unclassified non-coding RNA (253 nucleotides) under uncultured fungus. RNAcentral describes it as "partial contains 5.8S ribosomal RNA, internal transcribed spacer 2, and large subunit ribosomal RNA". Lineage: Eukaryota; Fungi. The record is from RNAcentral.